Non-coding RNA from Elaeis guineensis (African oil palm), 3319 nucleotides. Lineage: Eukaryota; Viridiplantae; Streptophyta; Magnoliopsida; Arecales; Arecaceae. The record is from RefSeq and is a predicted model, not a curated record.
GAACAAACCAGUGGCGUCAGCCCGGAGUCUGGCAUCGUGUCCCCAUCUCGCUUCUCUUCCCUUCUCUUCUUCCCCACCGCGCCCAAACCGACCUAAAAUGAAAAAAUAAAAAGGAAAGCGACAGGGUUACGGAGAGAAGAAGGCCCUCUCCCUCGUUUGUGAAGGAGAGGAAGAGCUAGGGUUAGGGAUUCCCCACCGCCAUCUCUGCCCUCGCUUCGCGGCUGAUGGAGUCGUGGAGCUUCCCCGACGGCAACUUCGCCAAUCUGGUGGAAAGCCGGCGCAUCGAUUCCCUCCCGGAUGUGAAUCGCAGGUUACAACUUCAUUCAUCUUUGAUACAAAGGCUUGCCCUGGAGGAAGUUAUGGAGGGCCAUCAAGGUUGUGUUAAUGCAAUUGCUUGGAACUCAAAAGGCUCUCUUCUGAUAUCUGGAUCAGAUGAUACAAAAAUUAAUAUAUGGAGUUACAACAAUCGGAGGCUUUUGCAUAGUGUUGAGACUGGGCAUUCUGCCAACAUAUUUUGCACAAAAUUUGUUCCUGAGACAUCUGAUGAACUUGUUGUGUCAGGGGCUGGAGAUACAGAGGUUCGCCUUUUCAAUAUAUCUCGUUUAAAUGGGAAAAGAUCUGAAGAAAUUGCUCUAGAACCUGCAGCAUUGUACCGGUGUCACUCAAGGAGGGUCAAGAAGCUAGCUGUUGAAAUUGGGAAUCCUAAUGUAGUAUGGAGUGCGAGUGAGGAUGGAACUGUGAGACAGCAUGACUUUCGCGAAAGUGGCUCAUGCCCGCCUGCUGGAUCUUCAAAUCAGCAAUGCCGUAAUGUACUACUUGAUCUUAGGUGCGGCGCAAAGAAAUCACUGGCUGAUUCUCCUAAGCAAUGUUUGGCAUUGAAGUCUUGUGACAUCAGUUCCACUCGUCCCCAUCAACUCCUUGUUGGUGGCAGUGAUGCGUUUGCUCGGUUGUAUGAUAGAAGAAUGCUUCCACCCUUGAGCUCUUGCCAGAUGAAAAUGAAGCCACCUCCUUGUGUUAAUUAUUUCUGCCCAAUGCAUCUUUCUGAGCGUAGAAAGUCAACCUUGCAUUUGACACAUGUAACAUUCAGCCCAAACGGUGAAGAGGUGCUCUUGAGUUAUAGUGGCGAACAUGUUUACUUAAUGGAUGUUAACUAUGAUGGUCAGAGCGUUAUGAGCUACACUGCUGAUGAUGUUCCAAAGCAAUUGUGUAUAGCUCCUUUAUUUAAAGAAACAAAAGUACCUUCACCAUCAGCAGUUUCCUCAGACAACUUGCCUGAAAGAAAAUAUCAUUUGCGCAGGCUUGGUUUGUGCAAGAAAUUGGUUCAAUAUGCGGCAAAAGCAUUGGAUGAAGGCUCAGACUUAUUUUAUGGAAUAGAAGCGUGUAAUGAAGUACUGGAUGGAAAAGGUCCUGAGAUUGGCCUUGCCCUGCGACAUGAGUGCCUGUGUAUUCGAGCAGCAUUGCUUCUUAAGAGGAAGUGGAAAAAUGAUGUUCAUAUGGCUAUAAGGGAUUGCAACAAAGCUCAACUUAUAGAUGCUUCAUCAUUUAAGGCGUACUAUUACAUGUCAGAAGCACUUCUUCAGUUAGGGAAAAAUAAAGAAGCUCUGGAGUAUGCAGAGGCAGCUCAUAAUUUGGCUCCAUCAAAUUCUGAUGCUGCUGAAAUGGUAAAGAGAAUAAAAGAUCGUCUUGCUGCAGCUGAAGCUGAGAAAAGCAAAAAGGAUAAUGAAGACACAGGUAAGAGUGAAGUGCGACAUGGAAGGUUAAGAUCAUUGAGUGAUGUACUCUUCCGGUCAGAGUUAAGUAGCCCAUCUCAAGAGGAUUGGCACGAAAGAGAAGAUUCUGAUUAUGAGGAAGAAAUGGAAUUGGACUUUGAAACAUCAAUAUCAGGAGAUGAGGGUCGUGAUAAUGAGCCAAGCAUUCUUCGUGGAAGUUUAAAUUUGAGGUUUCAUCGAAGAGAUGACUUAGCUAGAGAAAACUGCAGUACAGAUGGUUCACAUGGAUCUCCUUCAUCUUCCUCUCAACAUGAAAAUUCUUCUUAUCAGCCUGAGGUUGUGAUUGAUAUGAAACAAAGAUUUGUUGGCCAUUGCAAUGUGGGGACAGAUAUAAAACAAGCUAGCUUUCUUGGCCAACAAGGAGAGUAUGUUGCUAGUGGAAGCGAUGAUGGUAGGUGGUUUAUCUGGGAGAAGAGAACGGGAAGGCUUAUUAAAAUGCUUGCUGGUGAUGAAGCUGGUAAUAACUUCCUUUCUGUUUUAGUUGUAUUUUUUGAAAAAAAAUUCCUUUUAUCUUUUAUGACUUGUUUUGCAUCUUUUCUAGUGGUGAACUGUGUACAGUGCCAUCCAUUUGAUUGCGCUAUUGCAACUAGUGGAAUUGAUGACACAAUUAAGAUGUGGACACCGCAUGCAGAAGUUCCAUCAAUGGUUGCAGGAGGAACAGCAGGACCAGAGACUGCUGAUGUGUUGACUGCUAUAGAAAACAAUCAGCGGAAAUUGUGCCGCAACCGUGAAGCUAUGCUAAUUGACAUGGAACUUUUGGUCCACAUCAGACCAGCUUGCUUGAUAUUACAAUUCCGGGCUGCUACCAGCACAUCAAAGGGAUCUGUAUUGAUUUGAACCAUAUUAGGAAGCUUCAUGCUAUAUCUUCUUGUGGUGUCACUAGAAGUAUACAAGGUGACAAGGGCCAAUAAGAUGGUCAAACCAACCCAAAGUUCACUAUUUCCUUAGUGCCUUUCGAAUUCCUGGAGCGAUUUAGGAUGCAUGAGUUUGCUGAAGGAACUUUGCAUCCUUUUGAGUGUGCCCAGAGCUGAUAUGUUUUGUCUGCUCAAUGUGCAGGACUUGAACCAAGUUUUGACUGUUGAUAAUUGAAGAUGUUGGGGAAAGGAAAAAAGAACGGGAACAAUCUGGUAUUUGAGAUUGCUGCAGUAGGAGCAAAGCAUUCACUCAAUAUGGUUUUCGCGUUCUGACAAUAUGCAUAUUAUACAAUAAGUGCUAAUUGCAUGAUUAUCUUACCAGAAAAUCCCAAGGCUUGUAAUUUGGAGGAGUUCGUGUACGGCAAUUGUUGCGAGUUCUUAUGUUGUUUAUAAACAUCUUCAUGGUGAUUUUGUUGGUAUAUUUUUCCACCUGUUGGUAUCUUUUGUAAAGUACAUGGAAAUUUUUGUUUGCGGACCUGUGUACAGAAUUGUAAAAGAAUAGUAUAUAAUAUUUGCUAAAUUCAAUUAAGACAAUGCGAUGGUGCAUGAAGCAUGUCGUAUGAUUGUGCUGUACAAAUGAAUCAAUUAAAUUAAAAUAGUUAAAGAACGAUGGGUGAAAGCCCAUUUUUUGAUGAA